RNAcentral lists this ribosomal RNA (459 nucleotides) under uncultured bacterium. RNAcentral describes it as "partial 16S ribosomal RNA". It matches the Rfam family "Bacterial small subunit ribosomal RNA", at positions 338 to 795 of the family's 1533-position model. The record is from RNAcentral.
CCUACGGGAGGCAGCAGUGAGGAAUAUUGGUCAAUGGCCGAGACGCUGAACCAGCCAAGUCGCGUGAGGGAAGAAUGUCCUAUGGAUUGUAAACUUCUUUUGUCAGGGAGCAAAGUCACCCACGUGUGGGUGUUGGAGAGUACCGGAAGAAAAAGCAUCGGCUAACUCCGUUCCAGCAGCCGCGGUAAUACGGAGGAUGCGAUCGUUAUCCGGAUUUAUUGGGUUUAAAGGGAGCGUAGGCGGGUUAUCAAGUCAGCGGUAAAAUCGUGGGGCUCAACCCCGUCCAGGCGGUGAAACUGGUGAUCUUGAGUGGGCGAGAAGUAUGCGGAAUGCGUGGGGUAGCGGUGAAAUGCAUAGAUAUCACGCAGAACUCCGAUUGCGAAGGCAGCAUACCGGCGCCCGACUGACGCUGAAGCACGAAAGCGUGGGUAGCGAACAGGAUUAGAUACCCUAGUAGUC